CGGCAACAGCUCAAAUUUGAAAUCUGGCCUCGGCCCGAGUUGUAAUUUGUAGAGGGCGCUUCUGGCGCGGCAUCGACUGAGUCCCCUGGAACGGGGCGCCAAAGAGGGUGAGAGCCCCGUAGAGUCGGCUGCUAAGCCUGUGCGAAGCCCCUUCGACGAGUCGAGUAGUUUGGGAAUGCUGCUCAAAAUGGGAGGUAAAUUCCUUCUAAAGCUAAAUACCGGCCAGAGACCGAUAGCGCACAAGUAGAGUGAUCGAAAGAUGAAAAGCACUUUGAAAAGAGGGUUAAACAGCACGUGAAAUUGUUGAAAGGGAAGCGCUUGUGGCCAGACUUGCGCCGCGCUGAUCAUCCGGUGUUCUCACCGGUGCACUCGGCGCGGCUCAGGCCAGCAUCGGUUUUCGCGGGGGGAUAAAGGCGCCGGGAACGUAGCUCCUCCGGGAGUGUUAUAGCCCGGCGUGCCAUGCCCCCGCGGGGACCGAGGUCCGCGCGUAUGCAAGGAUGCUGGCGUAAUGGCCAUCAGCGACCCGUCUUGAAACACGGACCAAGGAGUCAAGGUUUUGCGCGAGUGUUUGGGUGUUAAACCCGCACGCGUAAUGAAAGUGAACGUAGGUGAGAGCUUCGGCGCAUCAUCGACCGAUCCUGAUGUAUUCGGAUGGAUUUGAGUAGGAGCGUUAAGCCUUGGACCCGAAAGAUGGUGAACUAUGCUUGGAUAGGGUGAAGCCAGAGGAAACUCUGGUGGAGGCUCGCAGCGGUUCUGACGUGCAAAUCGAUCGUCAAAUCUGAGCAUGGGGGCGAAAGACUAAU
This 803-nucleotide ribosomal RNA is filed under the name Episternus onthophagi. RNAcentral's name for it is "eukaryotic LSU rRNA". It matches the Rfam family "Eukaryotic large subunit ribosomal RNA", at positions 99 to 935 of the family's 3401-position model. The record is from RNAcentral. Lineage: Eukaryota; Fungi; Ascomycota; Sordariomycetes; Sordariales; Lasiosphaeriaceae.